UUCCGGUUGAUCCUGCCGGAGGUCACUGCUAUCGGGGUCCGAUUAAGCCAUGCGAGUCGAGAGGUAAGCCCUCGGCAUACUGCUCAGUAACACGUGGAUAACCUACCCUCGGGACGGGGAUAACUCCGGGAAACUGGGGAUAAUACCCGAUAGGUCAUAGGUACUGGAAUGUCCUGUGACCUAAAGUUCAGGCGCCCGAGGAUGGGUCUGCGGCCUAUCAGGUUGUAGUGGGUAUAAAGUACCUACUAGCCGACGACGGGUACGGGUUGUGAGAGCAAGAGCCCGGAGAUGGAUUCUGAGACACGAAUCCAGGCCCUACGGGGCGCAGCAGGCGCGAAACCUUUACACUGCGGGCAACCGCGAUAAGGGGACCCCGAGUGCCGCAUCCUAUGUUGGCUGUCCACCUGCCUAAAAAGCAGGUGUUAGCAAGGGCCGGGUAAGACCGGUGCCAGCCGCCGCGGUAACACCGGCGGCCCGAGUGGUGGCCACUCUUAUUGGGUCUAAAGGGUCCGUAGCCGGCCCAGUCAGUCCUUUGGGAAAUCCAGCGGCUUAACCGUUGGGCUUCUAGGGAUACUGCUGGGCUUGGGACCGGGAGAAGUGAGAGGUACUCUAGGGGUAGGAGUGAAAUCCUGUAAUCCUUGGGGGACCAUCGGUGGCGAAGGCGUCUCACUAGAACGGGUCCGACGGUGAGGGACGAAAGCUAGGGGCACGAACCGGAUUAGAUACCCGGGUAGUCCUAGCCGUAAACGAUGCUCGCUAGGUGUCACGUACGGUGCGGCCGUACGUGGUGCCGUAGGGAAGCCGUGAAGCGAGCCACCUGGGAAGUACGGCCGCAAGGCUGAAACUUAAAGGAAUUGGCGGGGGAGCACUACAACGGGUGGAGCCUGCGGUUUAAUUGGAUUCAACGCCGGA
Molecule: ribosomal RNA, 912 nt
Filed under: uncultured archaeon
Lineage: Archaea
Description: bacterial SSU rRNA
Rfam family: Archaeal small subunit ribosomal RNA
Source: RNAcentral